Molecule: ribosomal RNA, 1371 nt
Filed under: uncultured bacterium
Lineage: Bacteria
Description: bacterial SSU rRNA
Rfam family: Bacterial small subunit ribosomal RNA
Source: RNAcentral
GAUGAACGCUGGCGGCGUGCCUAAUACAUGCAAGUCGAGCGAACAGAUAAGGAGCUUGCUCCUUUGAAGUUAGCGGCGGACGGGUGAGUAACACGUGGGUAACCUACCUAUAAGACUGGGAUAACUUCGGGAAACCGGAGCUAAUACCGGAUAACAUUUAGAACCGCAUGGUUCUAAAGUGAAGGAUGGUUUUGCUAUCACUUAUAGAUGGACCCGCGCCGUAUUAGCUAGUUGGUAAGGUAACGGCUUACCAAGGCGACGAUACGUAGCCGACCUGAGAGGGUGAUCGGCCACACUGGAACUGAGACACGGUCCAGACUCCUACGGGAGGCAGCAGUAGGGAAUCUUCCGCAAUGGGCGAAAGCCUGACGGAGCAACGCCGCGUGAGUGAUGAAGGGUUUCGGCUCGUAAAACUCUGUUAUUAGGGAAGAACAAAUGUGUAAGUAACUGUGCACAUAUUGACGGUACCUAAUCAGAAAGCCACGGCUAACUACGUGCCAGCAGCCGCGGUAAUACGUAGGUGGCAAGCGUUAUCCGGAAUUAUUGGGCGUAAAGCGCGCGUAGGCGGUUUCUUAAGUCUGAUGUGAAAGCCCACGGCUCAACCGUGGAGGGUCAUUGGAAACUGGGAAACUUGAGUGCAGAAGAGGAAAGUGGAAUUCCAUGUGUAGCGGUGAAAUGCGCAGAGAUAUGGAGGAACACCAGUGGCGAAGGCGACUUUCUGGUCUGUAACUGACGCUGAUGUGCGAAAGCGUGGGGAUCAAACAGGAUUAGAUACCCUGGUAGUCCACGCCGUAAACGAUGAGUGCUAAGUGUUAGGGGGUUUCCGCCCCUUAGUGCUGCAGCUAACGCAUUAAGCACUCCGCCUGGGGAGUACGACCGCAAGGUUGAAACUCAAAGGAAUUGACGGGGACCCGCACAAGCGGUGGAGCAUGUGGUUUAAUUCGAAGCAACGCGAAGAACCUUACCAAAUCUUGACAUCCUUUGAAAACUCUAGAGAUAGAGCCUUCCCUUCGGGGGACAAAGUGACAGGUGGUGCAUGGUUGUCGUCAGCUCGUGUCGUGAGAUGUUGGGUUAAGUCCCGCAACGAGCGCAACCCUUAAGCUUAGUUGCCAUCAUUAAGUUGGGCACUCUAGGUUGACUGCCGGUGACAAACCGGAGGAAGGUGGGGAUGACGUCAAAUCAUCAUGCCCCUUAUGAUUUGGGCUACACACGUGCUACAAUGGACAAUACAAAGGGCAGCUAAACCGCGAGGUCAUGCAAAUCCCAUAAAGUUGUUCUCAGUUCGGAUUGUAGUCUGCAACUCGACUACAUGAAGCUGGAAUCGCUAGUAAUCGUAGAUCAGCAUGCUACGGUGAAUACGUUCCCGGGUCU